GCCCGAGUGGCGGAAUGGUAGACGCAGGGGACUCAAAAUCCUCCGGUAGCGAUACCGUGCGAGUUCGAGUCUCGCCUCGGGCACCA
This 86-nucleotide transfer RNA is filed under the name Alphaproteobacteria bacterium HGW-Alphaproteobacteria-2. RNAcentral's name for it is "tRNA-Leu". It matches the Rfam family "tRNA". From Rfam's summary of the family: Transfer RNA (tRNA) molecules are approximately 80 nucleotides in length. Their secondary structure includes four short double-helical elements and three loops (D, anti-codon, and T loops). Lineage: Bacteria; Pseudomonadati; Pseudomonadota; Alphaproteobacteria. The record is from RNAcentral.